Long non-coding RNA from Spea bombifrons (plains spadefoot toad), 130 nucleotides. RefSeq lists it as uncharacterized. The record is from RefSeq and is a predicted model, not a curated record. Lineage: Eukaryota; Metazoa; Chordata; Amphibia; Anura; Pelobatidae. The transcript has 2 exons.
AACUACUGCUCAUAUGAAAGAUGCAGCUGAGCUGAGAACAUAUCCCAGGCUGACUAUACAAUGCCAAAUGCAAAGAGAUGCAAAUAAAGAUAAAGGACAGAAGAUGAAAGACAGACGAUAGAAGAGAAAA